AAUUAUUAGGGGCAUACCCAUUUCCCAAGACCCUUUCUCUAAUGCGUAGCAGCUUCAAAGGAAGAAUAUUUGCUCAAGAGAUGGGUAAUUUUUCAAGCGUGGAAGAGUUGUCCCUGGAUGGUUCCUCAUUGGAUGAAGAGUCUUUUAAGAGCCUUAGAGCAUUGCCCUCUCUUAAAUUUUUAUCUAUGCAACGCGUCAAUGCUGACCUACCUAGUCAAGGCUUGCCGAAUUUCAAAAAUUUGGAGCAUUUGGAUUUGAGAUCGUCUACUCUCCACAACAACUUCUUAAAAGACAUCGAAAAGAUGCCCUCUCUUAAGAUUUUAUUAUUGUCCGAUUGUCAACUAAACGGCACCAUUCCAGCAGCCAAAGGUAAGGUUCUUUUAACCCUCUUUUUGUCACACUCAUGGUUUAUUACAAAAAGGAAUUUUAUGAAUUUUUUUUAUACUCACUUGAAUAUUUGACAAAAUGAUAUCAAUUUUAAAGACAUUUGUUUUUAUGUUAAUAAUUAUAUUGAUGUAGUAGUAUGCAAUAAAUAAAAUAAUGUAUCGUAUUAUUUCCAAGGAAGC
This 566-nucleotide unclassified non-coding RNA is filed under the name Hevea brasiliensis (rubber tree). The record is from RNAcentral. Lineage: Eukaryota; Viridiplantae; Streptophyta; Magnoliopsida; Malpighiales; Euphorbiaceae.